UUAAUGGAGAGUUUGAUCCUGGCUCAGGACGAACGCUGGCGGCGUGCCUAAUACAUGCAAGUCGAGCGGGGUUGUUUAGAAGCUUGCUUCUAAACAACCUAGCGGCGGACGGGUGAGUAACACGUAGGCAACCUGCCCACAAGACAGGGAUAACUACCGGAAACGGUAGCUAAUACCCGAUACAUCCUUUUCCUGCAUGGGAGAAGGAGGAAAGGCGGAGCAAUCUGUCACUUGUGGAUGGGCCUGCGGCGCAUUAGCUAGUUGGUGGGGUAA
RNAcentral lists this ribosomal RNA (273 nucleotides) under Paenibacillus ottowii. Its description in RNAcentral is "partial 16S ribosomal RNA". It matches the Rfam family "Bacterial small subunit ribosomal RNA", at positions 1 to 260 of the family's 1533-position model. Lineage: Bacteria; Bacillati; Bacillota; Bacilli; Caryophanales; Paenibacillaceae. The record is from RNAcentral.